GAUGAACGCUAGCGGCAGGCCUAAUACAUGCAAGUCGAGCGGCAAGUCGAGGAGUAAUCUAAGACCUAGAGCGGCGCACGGGUGCGUAACGCGUAUGCAACCUACCUUAUACUGGGGGAUAGCCCGGAGAAAUCUGGAUUAAUACCCCAUGGCACAUAUUGAUGGCACCUGAGAUAUGUUAAAGAUUUAUUGGUAUAAGAUGGGCAUGCGUCUGAUUAGCUAGUUGGCGGUGUAACGGACCACCAAGGCGACGAUCAGUAGGGGUUCUGAGAGGAAGGUCCCCCACACUGGCACUGAGAUACGGGCCAGACUCCUACGGGAGGCAGCAGUAGGGAAUAUUGGGCAAUGGUCGGAAGACUGACCCAGCCAUGCCGCGUGCAGGAAGACGGCCCUCUGGGUUGUAAACUGCUUUUAUCUGGGAAGAAAAGGCCAUGCGUGGCAAAUUGCCGGUACCAGAUGAAUAAGC
Molecule: ribosomal RNA, 466 nt
Filed under: uncultured bacterium
Lineage: Bacteria
Description: bacterial SSU rRNA
Rfam family: Bacterial small subunit ribosomal RNA
Source: RNAcentral